AGCAGCCGCGGUAAUUCCAGCUCCAAUAGCGUAUAUUAAAGUUGCUGCAGUUAAAAAGCUCGUAGUUGAAUUUCGGGACCGAUAUAUCGGUCGUGCCUCGGUACGUACUGGUAUUUUCGGUUUCUACCUUCUGACGAACCUUGAUGUCAUUAAUUUGGUGUCUUGGGAAAUCAGGACUGUUACUUUGAAAAAAUUAGAGUGUUUAAAGCAGGCUCACGCUUGAAUACAUUAGCAUGGAAUAAUGAAAUAGGACGUUUGAUUCUAUUUUGUUGGUUUCUAGGAUCGACGUAAUGAUUAAUAGGGAUAGUUGGGGGCAUUAGUAUUCAAUUGUCAGAGGUGAAAUUCUUGGAUUUAUUGAAGACUAACUACUGCGAAAGCAUUUGCCAAGGAUGUUUUCAUUAAUCAAGAACGAAGUUAGGGAUCGAAGACGAUCAGAUACCGUCGUAGUCUUAACCAUAAACUAUGCCGAUAGGGAUCGGAUGAUGUUAAUUUUUAAUGUACUCAUUCGGCGUCCGUUACG
RNAcentral lists this ribosomal RNA (520 nucleotides) under uncultured Glomus. RNAcentral's name for it is "SSU rRNA". It matches the Rfam family "Eukaryotic small subunit ribosomal RNA", at positions 569 to 1094 of the family's 1831-position model. Lineage: Eukaryota; Fungi; Glomeromycota; Glomeromycetes; Glomerales; Glomeraceae. The record is from RNAcentral.